AGAUCGUGCUGAGGGAAAUUUCUUAGCAAUCCCUUAUAUCUCUCCCAAGAUUCAUAUAAAGACUUGCCAUUUUCUUGUUGAAAGUUAGCAAUAUUCUUCUUCAACCU
Small nucleolar RNA from Lactuca sativa (garden lettuce), 107 nucleotides. NCBI's taxonomy places the organism in Eukaryota, Viridiplantae, Streptophyta, Magnoliopsida, Asterales, Asteraceae. The record is from RefSeq and is a predicted model, not a curated record.